CACUGAGGCAGACGCGCUGUUUGCCAUGGGUGAAAGCAAAUGGUCACUAAAGGUCAGAGAGCUCCUCUGCAGCUGGUGAGGGUGCAACAGCCCCACGGGGCCAGCCCAGGCAGAGAAGAAGGUAACGCCAUGUUCUGCUUGCUGUGAAAGUGCCUGCAAGAAAGUCACCACAACAGUCAGUGAGUUUUGUUUGUUUUAAAUAUAAGUACUUUGCACCUUAAAUAAUAUCUUACGCCAAGGAUCUCAAAGCACGUAGCAAACACUGGCUGAGCCUCUGUUUUCUGUGGGGAGAUGAGUGGCUAGUCAGCCUGGAUUUGAAGAAUUGGGAUGCUGAACCAUCUAUAUCAGUGAUCAGGGGAAGAAAAAGACACCUGAAGUAUAUGAGCUCAUAUUGGACAAGCCCAGAAAGAAAAAUGUGUUCUACAGUACUCUAAAACUGAGCUAAGAGUAAUACAAUGUAUGGUAUAUUAUGUACGGAAAAGAAAUGUGAGACCCUGAGGGAUGAAGGCAAACUAAUCAAAGGAAUAGCUAAUGGCCUAGAAGGAAAACAGGGAACAACCUGCUUCCUAAGGAGCCCACUCAGUUCUCAGUUCAGAGGGCCAGCAUACAGGCUGUUGGGACCUGAGCCCAAGGUCUCGAUGAUUUUAUCCAAAAGGGAUCAAAUUCAAGGCAAAUUUUUUAUGCCUAUAUAUUUUAUUCUUUUACCAGAAAUGGACAAUUUCUUCUACACAGGGAACAGAGCCAAGUAUAGGGGCUGGACCACUACUGCCGUGUUUGCACAGGCUUCUACAAAAUGACUUAAGCCUGCAUUCCCACAACACACCAGGAGUAAUAUUGCUGGCCUGGUUGGCCUGCUGGCUGAUCAGCAUCUCAGGGCAAAUAAAACUGUCAAGCACCUAUAUCAUUAGUAGGUGAUCUGAGAAGAUGACCAGUAAGGUCUAAGCUAGCUGCCACUUGUUCCCGUAAGUGAAUGGAGAUCAAAGACACCUUUAAUAUGAUGCUCCCAGUGUCAGUAUUAACUCUCUUUCUCAUCUGUUUUCAGAUUAACAGGGCUGAGAAACCCGAGAAAGAAAGUGGAGGCUGGAGUGACACUGAUUACACUGGAAGGCAUGGCAGUUGGCUGAACUAAUGGUGAACAGAAUUACAGACGUCCACAGGAAUUGAAGGAACCUUACAAUAAAAAGGAAGGGUAGGCAGUGCAGUCUGCAAAAUGGACAACAUGAAGGUUUGCUGCGCCCUGUCUCUUGAAGCCUACAGCUUUGGGAAAUGGUGAAGAUGUAGUCUUAGGAAUCCUGAACUUCUCGGCAUCCCCCAAUACACUAAUUAAUACUUGCAGAAGGAGGUGGAAAGCACUGUUUGUGUUAGAAGCUAUUAAUGAUCAGUUUUUAAACUAUUUGUAUCAUUUCCCUGUGGUGACAGCAGAGGACUAUGCCACUGAAAUAAAGUAGGAGUUUCUGGCCUGUAACACUGAAAAAAAUUAGUCCAAGACCAAGGGUAUUUAGGGCUCAUGUACAUGUAAGAUAGACACAGUACAAGAUGGCCCCAAGAAUGAGGAGUAAAUAUAAGGUAUCACAGAAUCCCAGGUUGGAAGGCACUUAAAAGAAUAUAUUCAUUUUACAUUUUCUGGA
Phalacrocorax carbo (great cormorant) is the source of this 1628-nucleotide non-coding RNA. Lineage: Eukaryota; Metazoa; Chordata; Aves; Suliformes; Phalacrocoracidae. The record is from RefSeq and is a predicted model, not a curated record.